RNAcentral lists this ribosomal RNA (374 nucleotides) under uncultured bacterium. RNAcentral describes it as "bacterial SSU rRNA". It matches the Rfam family "Bacterial small subunit ribosomal RNA", at positions 524 to 898 of the family's 1533-position model. The record is from RNAcentral.
UACGUAGGGUGCAAGCGUUAAUCGGAAUUACUGGGCGUAAAGCGUGCGCAGGCGGUGAUGUAAGACAGUUGUGAAAUCCCCGGGCUCAACCUGGGAACUGCAUCUGUGACUGCAUUGCUGGAGUUCGGCAGAGGGGGAUGGAAUUCCGCGUGUAGCAGUGAAAUGCGUAGAUAUGCGGAGGAACACCGAUGGCGAAGGCAAUCCCCUGGGCCUGCACUGACGCUCAAGCACGAAAGCGUGGGGAGCAAACAGGAUUAGAUACCCUGGUAGUCCACGCCCUAAACGAUGUCAACUGGUUGUUGGGUCUUCACUGACUCAGUAACGAAGCUAACGCGUGAAGUUGACCGCCUGGGGAGUACGGCCGCAAGGUUGAA